Molecule: small RNA, 772 nt
Filed under: Philonotis andina
Lineage: Eukaryota; Viridiplantae; Streptophyta; Bryopsida; Bartramiales; Bartramiaceae
Description: eukaryotic LSU rRNA
Rfam family: 5.8S ribosomal RNA (bases 330-482)
Source: RNAcentral
AUUGCACACACACGAAUGUUGCAGUAAACCCGGCUCGCGCCGGGCCGUUUGGCGAAGUACCACAUUGUCCCCCCCACCGCUUUUUGCGUCGUCCCGGUCGGUCGGUCGGUCGGGCUCCUUCCUCCUCCGAAGGGAGCGAGGGGGUCCGGCCACCCCGGCGGGGGCGGCCACGAUCUCAUUGAUCGCGCAAUGCAUCGACGCUCUGACCCACGACUGAGUCCCUAGAACGAUUCGGGGAGUUGGCUUGAUGACGACGGGCGGGGACUCCACCCGCCCCGAGUGAUGGAGACCGGCGCCCCCCGAGUAAGUUGGAUCUAUAACUUAGAAACAACUCUCAGCAACGGAUAUCUUGGCUCUUGCAACGAUGAAGAACGCAGCGAAAUGCGAUACGUAGUGUGAAUUGCAGAAUUCCGCGAAUCAUCGAGUCUUUGAACGCAAGUUGCGCCCGAGGCUUGUCCGAGGGCAUUUCCGCUAGAGCGUCACCGCGCUCCCCCACCGACCCCUCCCCCGACCCGAGCCCUCGCGGCGCGGAUCGGGAUCCGUCGAGUGGAAGUGGCCGUCCCGAUCCAUCGAUCGGGUCGGCUGAAAUGGAUGGAAUUUGGCCGUCGCGGCGACGGAGCCCCGCGAUCAGGUGAUCCGAGCGAAAGCCCGGAACUCAAACGUGCGGGGCCCCCCCCGUCCGCCCAGUCGGCCUUCUUGAAAAGAAAAAAGAGCAGGUCUGCGCGUUCCGGCCCUCGGGGGUCGAACGCGCAUCGGAGAGUCACGCAACGGA